RNAcentral lists this ribosomal RNA (389 nucleotides) under uncultured Scuticociliatia. RNAcentral describes it as "partial small subunit ribosomal RNA". It matches the Rfam family "Eukaryotic small subunit ribosomal RNA", at positions 30 to 432 of the family's 1831-position model. Lineage: Eukaryota; Ciliophora; Oligohymenophorea. The record is from RNAcentral.
GCUUGUCUCAAAGAUUAAGCCAUGCAUGUCUAAGUUUAAAUAGAAAACAGUGAAACUGCGAAUGGCUCAUUAAAUAAUUUUGCAUAUACAAGAUAGUCAACUCUACUUGGAUAACCGUAGUAAUUCUAGAGCUAAUACAUGCUAUCAAGCCCGACUUCUUGAAGGGUUGUAUUUAUUAGACUUAAGCCAAUAUUCCUUGUGUCUAUUGCGAUGAUUCAUAAUAACUGAUCGAAUCUCAAAUUUGAGAUAAAUCAUUCAAGUUUCUGCCCUAUCAGCUUUCGAUGGUAGUGUAUUGGACUACCAUGGCAGUAACGGGUAACGAAGAAUUAGGGUUCGAUUUCGGAGAGGGAGCAUGAGAAACGGCUACCACAUCUAAGGAAGGCAGCAGG